UGCUUCUGAUUUGACGAACAUUAAAUAGUUGUUGAUUGAAAUAACAUUAUUUUUAUCCUUUUUUUUUCACAACAGCAGAACUGAUUGAAUCCCCAAAACAUUCCAACAAAUCUUCAAAACUUGAUAAAUAUUCAAUUAAUUAAAAUGUUACAUUUAAAUAUAAUAAUUUUGACUAUUAUUUGUUGUUUCAUGAGCAAAGUUUUUGGAUUGGUUUUUGGGGAUUGUAGAAUUAUGGUUUNNNNNNNNNNAAAAGGUAUAAGCUUAUAUAUUUAAACAUACACUUAUCAGAAUUAAACGAUAAACUUCUUAGGUUUACCGCAUUGCUAUUUAAUAACUUAUUUAAUUAAACUUGGUUGGACAUGGCAUAUUAUCUAUCAAUGUACUUAAUUCAAAAUUAAUCCGACAUGGCACGUCGAACAAUUUGUUUAUACAAAUAAGUAGGGCAUGGUAUGUCUAACAAUCAACAUACUUAAUGGAAUUUAAAUGGACAUGGCAUGUCGAACAAACAACGUAAUGCAAUUUAUUAGGGCAUGACAUGCCGAACAACUUAAUCCAACAUGCNNNNNNNNNNAACUUAAUGCAAAUUAAUCCGACAUGGCAUAUCAAACAAACAACUUUACGUAAUGCAAAUUAAUCGGACAUGGCAUGUAUAACAACUUACCCAUCCCAUCAUAAUCCAACAUGCCAUAGCUAACAACUUGUUCAAUUUAACUUAACAUGUACAAACGACUUACUCAAUCCAACAAAAUCGGGCAUGACAUGUCAAACAACUUACCCAAAUCCAACAAAUUCUUUCUUUUCCCGUCAUACUGUAGAUACCAUUGUUCUAACUUUUAUUCAUCCAUCUACUUCCUUACUUCUUCAAAUAAUCCGGAUAUUCUGUUUGACAAUACAUUCUUCAUGUUCUUCUUAUUUUUGUUUAUUAAAUUAAAAAUCAAAAUUAAAAUCAAAAAAAAGUACAUAAGCAAAUAUACUGACAUAUACAUAGUUAACUAUAUGUUUAAACUUAAUUUAGGAAAUCUGAUCCAUUUUAUACACUUGAUACAAAUCAAUAGGUGUUUAAACAGGAUGCAAAUAAUUCUUUAAAAAAUGACAUUAUGUCAUUUCUUUCUUUUUUAUUUUAUACCCCUCUUACUUCAUCGUAAUGUGGUUGUUCAAAUUGUACUAAAUAGCUAUAACCAGACGAGUCUUUAUAUAGCAUAUCACUUAAAAAUUGCAUUAUUCUAGAUGUAAUAUUAUUAAUUCUGUCAUCAUCGAAGUAUUCUUUAAUUACAUCAUCUCUACCAAUUAAUGCUUUAAUUCUUGAUUUAUAAUUUUUUAUAUUCAAAUUAGUAGUACCUAAUACAUCCGAUAAUUCAUGUGACCAAAAUCUAGCAUACUUAAAUUCCUUUAACAUAGAAUCAUCGAAUGAUAUGAUUCCAUCAUAACAUACAUAAAAAUCAAAUGUACGUUGCAAUAUUCUAUGUGCCAUUGCAUUAAUUCUAUAUUCAUCAUAAAACGCUUUUUUCUUAUCUAAUAAAUAAUUAAUUAUAACUUUGAUAUCCUCGAUC
This is a long non-coding RNA of Piliocolobus tephrosceles (Ugandan red Colobus), 1550 nucleotides long. Lineage: Eukaryota; Metazoa; Chordata; Mammalia; Primates; Cercopithecidae. The record is from Ensembl.